GUGGCCUGUGAGGGUUGCUGGAGGUAUCAGAAGUGCGAAUGCUGACAUAAGUAACGAUAAAGCGGGUGAAAAGCCCGCUCGCCGGAAGACCAAGGGUUCCUGUCCAACGUUAAUCGGGGCAGGGUGAGUCGACCCCUAAGGCGAGGCCGAAAGGCGUAGUCGAUGGGAAACGGGUUAAUAUUCCCGUACUUGGUGUUACUGCGAAGGGGGGACGGAGAAGGCUAUGUUGGCCGGGCGACGGUUGUCCCGGUUUAAGCGUGUAGGUGUGUGUUCCAGGUAAAUCCGGUUCACUUUAACACUGAGGCGUGACGACGAGGCACUACGGUGCUGAAGCAACAAAUGCCCUGCUUCCAGGAAAAGCCUCUAAGCAUCAGGUAACAUCAAAUCGUACCCCAAACCGACACAGGUGGUCAGGUAGAGAAUACCAAGGCGCUUGAGAGAACUCGGGUGAAGGAACUAGGCAAAAUGGUGCCGUAACUUCGGGAGAAGGCACGCUGACACGUAGGUGAAGUGAUUUACUCA
This 522-nucleotide ribosomal RNA is filed under the name Salmonella enterica. RNAcentral's name for it is "partial 23S ribosomal RNA". It matches the Rfam family "Bacterial large subunit ribosomal RNA", at positions 1256 to 1773 of the family's 2925-position model. Lineage: Bacteria; Pseudomonadati; Pseudomonadota; Gammaproteobacteria; Enterobacterales; Enterobacteriaceae. The record is from RNAcentral.